RNAcentral lists this ribosomal RNA (497 nucleotides) under uncultured bacterium. RNAcentral's name for it is "partial 16S ribosomal RNA". It matches the Rfam family "Bacterial small subunit ribosomal RNA", at positions 28 to 507 of the family's 1533-position model. The record is from RNAcentral.
GACGAACGCUGGCGGCGUGCCUAAUACAUGCAAGUUGAGCGCUGAAGGUUGGUACUUGUACCCACUGGAUGAGCAGCGAACGGGUGAGUAACGCGUGGGGAAUCUGCCUUUGAGCGGGGGACAACAUUUGGAAACGAAUGCUAAUACCGCAUAAAAACUUUAAACACAAGUUUUAAGUUUGAAAGAUGCAAUUGCAUCACUCAAAGAUGAUCCCGCGUUGUAUUAGCUAGUUGGUGAGGUAAAGGCUCACCAAGGCGAUGAUACAUAGCCGACCUGAGAGGGUGAUCGGCCACAUUGGGACUGAGACACGGCCCAAACUCCUACGGGAGGCAGCAGUAGGGAAUCUUCGGCCAUGGACGAAAGUCUGACCGAGCAACGCCGCGGGAGGGAAGAAGGGUGUCGGAUCGUAAAACUCUGUUGGUAGAGAAGAACGUUGGUGAGAGUGGAAAGCUCAUCAAGUGACGGUAACUACCCAGAAAGGGACGGCCAACUACGUG